Molecule: long non-coding RNA, 4900 nt
Filed under: Panax ginseng (ginseng)
Lineage: Eukaryota; Viridiplantae; Streptophyta; Magnoliopsida; Apiales; Araliaceae
Description: long non-coding RNA (PGIN_LNC018141)
Source: RNAcentral
UUUUGGUUUCGGAACUGCACUUCAAAGCUUGUGUCGAAAUCUUCUUAGGCUCCGAUGUAAUCAUCAAAUUAGGCGAGUAAAUCAAAUUGAAGGGACAGAAGUACUACAAUCAAUUGGUCUUCAAAGGAGGAUUUCUAGGAAUUUGAAUUAAAAAGCAAAUAAGGAGGUAAGUUAUGAGAUUAUUCUACAAUUUCAGUAAUGGAAUAUGUAUAUGCAAAUAUGGGCUAAAAUAAUGUUAAAUGAAAAAUUGAACUGUGAUUUGAAUUGUGAUAACUAUGAAUUAGAAAAGAGGGAAUUUAGUUGUUAUUGUGAGGAGUAUUGGAAGAAGAAAGUUUGGAUUUACACGUGUGAACAUGUAUGAUCUUUGCCCCCAAAAAAAAUGCCUAUGUUAUGUUUGAUAAAAGGUUUCUUAUAAGCUCUUAGCAUAAAUAAAAGAAUUUUGGUCCAAUUUAUGAAUUAUAAAUUUUUAUAUCUGUUUUUUUUAUAAGAACUGAAGAAGGUUGAACAAACUAAUUUUAAGUUUGGGGCUGCUUAAUGUCUUAUGAAUGGAAUGACUGUGUUGGUAAAUCAGUGGCAACCAGGUAACUUUGGACACUUGUUAAGCUUGUUUCAAGUGGUUGUUUUGGUUAGUAUUUUUUUAAUGGGUUGAUAUACUAAUUAUAACAUAUCACAAUUUUGUUGUAAUUGGAUUCAUAAAUUGGGGGAAAAUAAUGUGCAAAGUGGGCAUGUUAGUUAUGGUUCAGCUGGGCAGCAAACUCGCUGCGUUGUCGUGACUGUUACAGCUAGCUAGUUUAGCUUUUGUUUAAAACUAUUGGAGCCCAAAAUCCACUUUCUAUUAUACUCACGAUUUACCCACAUAUUAUACCCUUGUGUAUAUGUUUACAGAUCGUGCGUCACAUAUCUGUAAAACUUUUUAUUGAUAUGUGGGAUAUCAAUAUCAACUUUCUCUAAACAUGAGAAACCAUCCUUAGCAGACAACAAUAUUAGAGAAAUAUCCUUUGUAGUCAAAAUAUGAGAGUCUGGGUGCUAAGACUAAAAACUUAAAAGUGAAAGGAUUUUCCCCAAUAAUACUGAGAUAUGGUGAGGUGUGUGAGAUUAGAUUAAGUAAAAUUGAAAACCUCUAUAUUAUAUUACAUUUUCAACACACAUAAAUAGAUAUUCUUCAAAUGGGGAAAAUUGUCAAAACUAAAAUCUCUCUCCCAUAAAAGUUAUUGCAGUUAAGUGUAAAGUUAAUGUCGGAGAACUCCAAAGAUACUCUUGUAACUUGCAAGCACUUAGAGAUAAAGCUUUUAAACUAGACCUUAAAUUCUUUCCAAUUAGAAUCAAAUUCCGGCAACGUAGUAUUCAGUUUAUGUUUUAAGGACGGAGAGGAAAAAAGACGGCGGAGUGGAAAAUUUUCAGUCAAAUUUUUCAAACGAGUGCAGGCUGAAUUCCUGUACAUUAUGAGAAAUUGCAUAGUUUGCAUGCUUAACUUUGUUCCGACAUUAUUAUGAAAAAUAACGUAUAGUUAAAAAUGAGUUUUAUAACUUGUUUUAAAACGAAACUUUAAAGACUGUUUUGCUGUGACGUAUGAUGAUAUAUCUUGAACGUUAAAAGAUAAUAUAUGUGUAAGGAUGGUCAAUACUAGUCAUGAAAGCAAUGACUAGUUUAUGGGGAGAAUCGAUUAAGAAACUAUAAAUGAAAUGAAUCUAUUUAAAGGAUAGUAAGAGUUAGUAAAGUAUGAGGUUUUGAACUAAAAAUCUGAUUUGGACUUACAGUUAUAUAUAUACAUGUUAAAUGUAUAAGUCAAGAAAUGAGAAGAAGUUACAUUGUGAAAUUAGCUAAAGACUUUCAAAGAAACUAAAUGAAAGUUUUAAAGAAAAAGAUAUAGUAAUAUUAAUUAAGUUGAUAUUAAAUAUAUGAUUGACUGAUAUGGCAUGAAUGUACAUUUAAUUUGUGUAGGAACAUCGCAGAGCAGAUAAACAAUAAUAUUAGACAGUGCUACAGGCAAGUUUUUCAGUUCUGUUAUGUUUGUGGAUGGAAUGUGGUUAUGUGCUAAAUUACAUAUCAUGCUCUAUGAAUUGUUAAAGUCAAAAUAUGACUCAGUUAAUUGGGUUAUGGAACUCAAUUUAUAUGUGAUUUGUGAUAACACAUGUUGUAUGAUGUAACUCGAUAAAUUAAAAAUGUAUAAUGCAUGAAUGUAUGCUUUGUAAGGAAUUAUUGAUGCAUGUAGGAUAUGCAUAGUAAAGAAUAUAUGUUGCAUGCGGAUAUGCAUAUUAAGGGUAAUGUAGUGCAUAUGGAAUUGUGUGCUAUGUGAAACAUGAUAGACUGUUAAAUUUGCUGGGCUGUCGAGCUCAAUCUUGCAAACACAAACUUUUUGCAGGUUAAUGACGUUAUGCAAUAUUAUUUGUGUUUUGCGGAUGAUGAAGGAUGAAUGAUGGACGAAAUGAAUACAUUUCUUUGAAUUAGAAAUGGUAUAAAGCUAUGAUUGAUAGUUGCUAAAUAUAAUUGGCAGUAAUGUAUAGUUUGAAAUGUUAAAUAGAUAAAGAAUGUUUAUUCUGAAAUGAGAAUAAAUAUAAUUUUAGUAUAAAGAAGAAUUGUAAAGGUUGCGAUUCAGGGAAUGAAUGAAUGGGAAUAAAGAAGAAAAUUAAAAUUUAUUCUGCAUUUUUAGCUAUUUUAACAUUAAAUAAUGUUUUAAAGCUAUAACAAGGUAGUAUUAACGCACAAGAUCGGGAAGGGAAAUGGUCCCGAUUUUGGGGGCGUUACAUCCAUCCCCACAUGCAAACAAUGGGCAGUGGCCAAGCCAUCAAAUAAUUUCAGUGGGGUCAAAUUAUUAAAUUACACACACAAAAAAUCUAUUACACACACAUAUCUAUUACACACACAUAUAUAUAUAAAUUCUGUGAAAUCAAAUUAUUAAAUUACACUCACAAAAAAUCUAUUACGUUAUAUAUAAAAAAUAAAAUAAAAAUUCAGUGGGGUCAAUUGACUCACACUCAUACAUGUAGCUUCGACCUUGUUUGGCAUAUUAUUUUAGUAGUGAUAAUAUAUACUCCCUCCCUCCCUCCCUCCCUUUCUUUUUUAUUUAUCCUUUAUAAAUCUCAAAAAAUUAUUAAUGACUUAAUUUUUUAUAUUAUGUAUCUCUAUACUAUUAAAUACCAACUUAAUUGUUUUUCUUUCAUCUUUUUCAAUAAAUUUUUUAAAGAUAGUAUUGAGAUUUUAUAGUUAUUUUGGUCAAUCAACAUUAAUUGUAUUUGUUAAUUUUUUAUUUUUUUUAAACGACAAGUAAAAAAUGGAACGGAUGGGGUAUAUUAGGAGCAAAAAUGCUCUAUUUAUUUAUUUAAAAAGAAAAUACCUAGAUAAAUUAAUUAUAAUUUAUAUUAAACACGAGUAGAGUUUUAACUCUCGGGGUGAUACAUAUGUUAAGCACACUUCCUGAAAUUUCUGCUGCCCAUAUGCAUGACGCGUAUAUAGUCCAUUAUGCUCUAUAUUAAAGUUAUAUUUGAAACCAGUUUUAUUUAUUUUUUAUUUACUACGUAUACAAUUAGAAUAUGAUUAUUAAGAAAUUAUAUAUUUUUUACUUUUCCAUUUGCAUUUGAUUCGACGAGUUUUAAUUUUAAAAUUCCAAACAUAGCAAAACAAAUUGAAAAAAAAGAAGACUUUACCUUGCCAAAAGGUGCCACUAACUGUUGAAGAGCUGCAAUUCUAUCUCCUAAUUUCUCUUUUCUAACCUGACAUGAUCAGUACAAAGAUUCACACAUUAAACAUUUAAAUCAUAUGAGGAAAAAAUUAGGGUUGGAGAAAUUGUCACAUGAAAUAUACAUAUAUAUAUAUAUAGGUAUUAUUAACAUUCAUGAUCCUGUAAUUAAUUAAUUGUCACCUUAAAGGGUGGGCAGGAAGAGCGUGAAUCCAACCGCGAUUUUUUGGGUCUCUCUUGAGGCACUGCUUUUGUUUCAAGCAAACUGCUGGAUCGCUUUACUUCUGGAACUCCAUUAUUAAAAGGUGAUACCUUUGAGAUGAAAACAGUAAAGUACUUGUAUAGAUGAAUUAUCAUGGAUAUAUAUCUCAAAGAAGACGGUAUAUAUAUCUGAAAAAUGCAAGGAUCAUAAUGUAUAAAGCUGGAAGUAUCCUUUAUCAAAAAGAGAGAGGCUUUCCCUUUGGUGCCAUUUAUUUAAAAGAGAGAAAAGAAAGCUCUUUAACUUUCAUAUUUCUCUUUCUUCCCAUACCAAAAAAAGCAAAAACAGAAAAGGAGAUGUCCUAUUAAAAUUCAUAUAUAGUAGUACUGUUUAUUGUUCAAAAUAUGAAAUGCUUAUUGUGACUUUAGUAUACUAUAUAAAUUCACAAUAAGCAUUUCAUUAUAAUAUCCAUACACAAAAAUAAAUAUAAUUUAGACACUAAAGAUAUGUAUAUGGUUAUAUAUAUAUAUGAGUGGAAUAAUUGUUUUUUUUAUUAUUUUAUUAUAUUUUUGGAGUAUGGAGUAAAACUACAUAGAAGCUAGAUCACUCACUAAGGAAUGUGAUUGUGACAAUUACCUAAUAAAUAUGCUAUUAUAUAUGAUCAUAGAUUAAUUCACUUGUAUAACUAUACGCCUUUAAUGCUAUCAUCAUUAUAUUUUUAAUUUGGCUACCGUGUGAAGUUCAAAUUGGUCAAAUAUUUGUCAAGACAUAUAGGAAAAAAUAGAAUCUGUACUGUAGCAAAUAGCUGCAUUGACAAUUUUGUGAUUGUGCUGGUGAUGCAUGCUUGGCUACAUGCAUUAAUUUUCAUGGCAAUUCUAUAGAUAGUCACUAUUGUUUUGAGAAGAAAAAGAAGAAGCUAUGUAUAGAUAGAUAUUACGUAUACUCACAUUUGUAGGACUAUUCGGUGGCCUGUGACUUAUAAAUUGCUGCCGCAUAUUAUAAUCAAGGCUGCUUUUCGAAAGGCC